GUGGCUGUGGCUCAGUGUGUAGAGCACCUGCCUAGCAUGCAUGAGGCACUGGGCUCAAUCCUCUGCACCACA
Molecule: transfer RNA, 72 nt
Filed under: Marmota monax (woodchuck)
Lineage: Eukaryota; Metazoa; Chordata; Mammalia; Rodentia; Sciuridae
Rfam family: tRNA
About the family: Transfer RNA (tRNA) molecules are approximately 80 nucleotides in length. Their secondary structure includes four short double-helical elements and three loops (D, anti-codon, and T loops).
Source: Rfam by way of RNAcentral